AAACCAUGUUGUGGACAUUGUCAAAGCAGCCCAUUUUAUCUUUCCCAUGCCUCGUAAUAGCACUCCGAAUCAAGUUGAGAGAAUGUAGUGAUUUCAACUCUACAAUC
This 107-nucleotide small nucleolar RNA is filed under the name Olea europaea subsp. europaea. RNAcentral describes it as "Plant small nucleolar RNA R71". It matches the Rfam family "Plant small nucleolar RNA R71". From Rfam's summary of the family: R71 is a member of the C/D box family of snoRNAs containing the C (UGAUGA) and D (CUGA) box motifs. The record is from Rfam by way of RNAcentral. Lineage: Eukaryota; Viridiplantae; Streptophyta; Magnoliopsida; Lamiales; Oleaceae.